UAUGGAGUUAAUACUUUAUAGUAAUUAACUAGUUUUAAUGACCGUUAUGUUUAGUUUUCAGAGAUUAGUUUCUCUGACAAUAACAAGUAAAUGUUAUUGGAAUUGUUCUUUGAAAACUGGAUAAUAGACAUCUAGUUAUUUUAAUCACAUGAUUAAAAUAACAAUAAUUCAAAAUUUCUGUUAUUUUUAAAAAAUAACUAAAAUUUCACAGUUAUAUUUGUAAAUGAUUCUCAAAAAACUGAUUUAAAAUCAGGUCAAAUAAUUUAUAAAACUUUGAAGUUACAAAGGGCGUAUGGUGAAUGCCUUGGG
Molecule: unclassified non-coding RNA, 309 nt
Filed under: Spiroplasma sp. YY0801
Lineage: Bacteria; Bacillati; Mycoplasmatota; Mollicutes; Entomoplasmatales; Spiroplasmataceae
Description: 16S-23S ribosomal RNA intergenic spacer
Source: RNAcentral